Molecule: non-coding RNA, 124 nt
Filed under: Proteiniclasticum ruminis
Lineage: Bacteria; Bacillati; Bacillota; Clostridia; Eubacteriales; Clostridiaceae
Source: RNAcentral
AAAAGGAAGUCCGGUGAAACCGGCACAGGCUUGCCCCUACUGUAUGCGGGUACGAAUGAUGACCAUUGUUCUUUCAAAGAAUGAGAAGGUCUCAGAGUAGAAUGAUCCGUAAGUCAGGAUACUU